This 561-nucleotide long non-coding RNA is filed under the name Gouania willdenowi (blunt-snouted clingfish). Its description in RNAcentral is "lncRNA (ENSGWIG00000008454.1)". Lineage: Eukaryota; Metazoa; Chordata; Actinopteri; Blenniiformes; Gobiesocidae. The record is from RNAcentral.
AUGGAGGACGGGAGCACCAGCAUCUACCAAUGGAGGAGAAGAAAUACUUUUAUUAACCAAAACAAUAAUCCACUGAUAGAGAACAAGGAAGAUGGAAGACUACCAUCAUCUACCAAUGGAGGAGCAGGAGAAAAAUGGGGGAGCACCAGCAUCCAAAAGUGUCCCAUAAUCAGCCACAGGAGGAGAUAUCAGCAGAGGAAAGAAACAAUAUUAACCAAAACAAUCAUCCACUGAUGGAGGAGAAGAAAGAUGGAGGACGGGAGCACACAAACAUCUGCACAAGACGGAGAUGAAGAAAGACUUCUAUCAAUCAACCAAAAACAAUGUAAGUAAAGCCUCUUGUUUGAACACACAUUUAAUAUAAAAAUAGAUGUUAAUUACUGUACUAGUGUCUGUAAAAUGUCUUGUGUGUGAUUACAGAUUCACUUCAGAGGAGAAUCAGACUGUUCCAGAUGUUCAUCACCACAGCACAGAAUGAGACAGCAGUAGUAGUAGUAGUGUUUACUCUGACUGCUUUCAUUUCAACUAUAAAUAAAUAAAAAAUAAUAUCUUAAGAAAUCA